AACGAACGCUGGCGGCAGGCCUAACACAUGCAAGUCGAGCGGACCCUUCGGGGUUAGCGGCGGACGGGUGUGUAACGCGUGGGAACGUGCCCUUUGCUUCGGAAUAGCCCUGGGAAACUGGGAGUAAUACCGGAUACGCCCUUUUGGGGAAAGAUUUAUCGGCGAAGGAUCGGCCCGCGUUGGAUUAGGUAGUUGGUGGGGUAAUGGCCUACCAAGCCGACGAUCCAUAGCUGGUGUGAGAGGAUGAUCAGCCACACUGGGACUGAGACACGGCCCAGAGUGGCAGGGGGGGCGGCAGAUGUGAACAUCGGCCAAGGCGGCCCUCGCGAUGCGGGCGGCGCCGGGUGCGGAGUGACGGCAGUGUGGUGGAAAAGCCCUGUCACCUGGGAAGAGACGGACGGUACAAGGAGAAGCAGCCCCGGCCACCGCCGCGCCGGCAGCGGAGCUAAUAAUAGGACGCGCACACGUCUCACU
This 474-nucleotide ribosomal RNA is filed under the name uncultured bacterium. RNAcentral's name for it is "partial 16S ribosomal RNA". It matches the Rfam family "Bacterial small subunit ribosomal RNA", at positions 33 to 541 of the family's 1533-position model. The record is from RNAcentral.